ACGCACGCUGGCGGCGGGCUUAACACCUGCCAGGCGAACGGAAAGGCCCUGCUUUUGUGGGGUGCUCGAGUGGCGAACGGGUGAGUAACACGUGAGUAACCUGCCCUUGACUUUGGGAUAACUUCAGGAAACUGGGGCUAAUACCGGAGAGGAGCUCCUGCUGCCUGGUGGGGGUUGGAAAGUUUCGGCGGUUGGGGAUGGACUCGCGGCUUAUCAGCUUGUUGGUGGGGUAGUGGCUUACCAAGGCUUUGACGGGUAGCCGGCCUGGGAGGGGGACCGGCCACAUUGGGACUGAGAUACGGACCAGAAUCCUACGGGAGGCAGCAGUGGGGAAUAUUGCACAAUGGGCGGAAGCCUGAUGCAGAAACGCCGCGUGCGGGAUGACGGCUUUCGGGUUGUAAACCGCUUUCGCCUGUGACGAAGCGGGAGUGACGGUAAUGGGUAAAGAAGCACCGGCUAACUACGUG
This 467-nucleotide ribosomal RNA is filed under the name uncultured bacterium. RNAcentral describes it as "partial 16S ribosomal RNA". It matches the Rfam family "Bacterial small subunit ribosomal RNA", at positions 29 to 507 of the family's 1533-position model. The record is from RNAcentral.